RNAcentral lists this unclassified non-coding RNA (253 nucleotides) under uncultured Parcubacteria group bacterium. Its description in RNAcentral is "contains 16S-23S intergenic spacer region". It matches the Rfam family "Bacterial small subunit ribosomal RNA", at positions 524 to 776 of the family's 1533-position model. The record is from RNAcentral.
UACGAGUGCCCCAAGCGUUAUCCGGAAUCAUUGGGCGUAAAGGGUGUGUAGGUGGUUGUGUUCGUCUCCUGUUAAAACCCUCGGCUUAACCGAGGGCUCGCGGGGGAAACGGCACAACUUGAGGGUGCGAGGGGUGAAUGGAACUCAUGGAGUAGGGGUGAAAUCCGUUGAUAUCAUGGGGAACACCAAAAGCGAAGGCAAUUCACUGGCGCAUACCUGACACUGAGGCACGAAAGCGUGGGUAGCGAACGGG